UAGGGAAUCUUCCGCAAUGGGCGAAAGCUUGACGGAGCAACGCCGCGUGAGUGAUGAAGGUCUUCGGAUCGUAAAACUCUGUUAUUAGGGAAGAACAAAUGUGUAAGUAACUAUGCACGUCUUGACGGUACCUAAUCAGAAAGCCACGGCUAACUACGUGCCAGCAGCCGCGGUAAUACGUAGGUGGCAAGCGUUAUCCGGAAUUAUUGGGCGUAAAGCGCGCGUAGGCGGUUUUUUAAGUCUGAUGUGAAAGCCCACGGCUCAACCGUGGAGGGUCAUUGGAAACUGGAAAACUUGAGUGCAGAAGAGGAAAGUGGAAUUCCAUGUGUAGCGGUGAAAUGCGCAGAGAUAUGGAGGAACACCAGUGGCGAAGGCGACUUUCUGGUCUGUAACUGACGCUGAUGUGCGAAAGCGUGGGGAUCAAAAAGG
This 429-nucleotide ribosomal RNA is filed under the name Actinomycetes bacterium. RNAcentral describes it as "Actinobacteria bacterium partial 16S ribosomal RNA". It matches the Rfam family "Bacterial small subunit ribosomal RNA", at positions 355 to 776 of the family's 1533-position model. Lineage: Bacteria; Bacillati; Actinomycetota; Actinomycetes. The record is from RNAcentral.